CCUCCUUAAACGAUUGUGAAGCCACCCUUCAAGUGUUCACACAUCUGUCUUUAUCUGUGCGGUUGAUGCGAUGGCAGCCAUUGGGCUGUCGAGAGUGUGCCACGAAGCUCUGAGUCAACGGUUACGCGCCGCAGGCGGCAGAACUGGCAAGGCGAUGCGUAUGCCCGGGUCUGAUAGCAGGCCAUCAAACAGGCAGCGCGGCAGGCGAGUCACGUUAGGCCUGUAGCUCAGUUGGUUAGAGCGCACCCCUGAUAAGGGUGAGGUCGGCAGUUCAAGUCUGCCCAGGCCUACCAAGUUUUCUGGGGCUAUAGCUCAGCUGGGAGAGCGCCUGCUUUGCACGCAGGAGGUCUGCGGUUCGAUCCCGCAUAGCUCCACCACUUUCACUUGCAUCGAAUUCAGACAAAGGCGCAUACGGUGUUGCCCUUGUCUGGUUUCGACAACCAGAAUGCUCUUUAACAAGGUAAAUCAAGCUGAAUUCUCUGAAUCACCAACCCCGCAGUAAGGUUCCGCUUUUACUGUUGGUGAUGAUUUCAGGGAUUAAAAAAGUUCUCAAGGCACCGUCUUAAUUUCCGGUGCCU
This 578-nucleotide transfer RNA is filed under the name uncultured Gammaproteobacteria bacterium. RNAcentral's name for it is "partial 16S-23S ribosomal RNA intergenic spacer". The stretch from base 217 to 290 matches the Rfam family "tRNA". Lineage: Bacteria; Pseudomonadati; Pseudomonadota; Gammaproteobacteria. The record is from RNAcentral.